ACUUUUAAUGGAUAAUAGAAGUCCGA
Molecule: transfer RNA, 26 nt
Filed under: Agama hispida
Lineage: Eukaryota; Metazoa; Chordata; Lepidosauria; Squamata; Agamidae
Also listed under: 1 other name
Description: Tropidurus hispidus partial tRNA-Leu
Source: RNAcentral